AUUGAACGCUGGCGGCAUGCCUUACACAUGCAAGUCGAACGGUAACGGGCCUUCGGGCGCCGACGAGUGGCGAACGGGCGAGUAAUACAUCGGAACGUGCCCGAUCGUGGGGGAUAACGAGGCGAAAGCUUUGCUAAUACCGCAUACGAUCUACGGAUGAAAGCAGGGGACCGCAAGGCCUUGCGCGGACGGAGCGGCAGAUGGCAGAUUAGGUAGUUGGUGGGAUAAAAGCUUACCAAGCCGACGAUCUGUAGCUGGUCUGAGAGGAUGAUCAGCCACACUGGGACUGAGACACGGCCCAGACUCCUACGGGAGGCAGCAGUGGGGAAUUUUGGACAAUGGGCGCAAGCCUGAUCCAGCCAUGCCGCGUGCAGGAUGAAGGCCUUCGGGUUGUAAACUGCUUUUGUACGGAACGAAAAGCCUUCUUUUAAUACAGGAGGGUCAUGACGGUACCGUAAGAAUAAGCACCGGCUAACUACGUG
This 482-nucleotide ribosomal RNA is filed under the name uncultured bacterium. RNAcentral's name for it is "partial 16S ribosomal RNA". It matches the Rfam family "Bacterial small subunit ribosomal RNA", at positions 30 to 507 of the family's 1533-position model. The record is from RNAcentral.